UCCGGUUUGGCACCGGCAGUCCCCCUAGAGUGCCCGACUUUACUCGCUGGUAACUAGGGGCGGGGGUUGCGCUCGUUGCGGGACUUAACCCAACAUCUCACGACACGAGCUGACGACAGCCAUGCAGCACCUGUGCAGGGACUCCGAAGAGGGGCCGGCGUCUCUGCCGGCUUUCCCCUGCAUGUCAAGCCUAGGUAAGGUUCUUCGCGUUGCGUCGAAUUAAACCACAUGCUCCACCGCUUGUGCGGGCCCCCGUCAAUUCCUUUGAGUUUCAGCCUUGCGGCCGUACUCCCCAGGCGGGGCACUUACUGCGUUAGCGACGGCACUCAGAGGGUCGCUCCCCCAAGCACCUAGUGCCCAUCGUUUACGGCGUGGACUAC
This 380-nucleotide unclassified non-coding RNA is filed under the name uncultured Gemmatimonadaceae bacterium. RNAcentral describes it as "contains 16S-23S intergenic spacer region". The record is from RNAcentral. Lineage: Bacteria; Pseudomonadati; Gemmatimonadota; Gemmatimonadia; Gemmatimonadales; Gemmatimonadaceae.